GAUGAACGCUGGCGGCGUGCCUAAUACAUGCAAGUCGAGCGAACAGACGAGGAGCUUGCUCCUCUGACGUUAGCGGCGGACGGGUGAGUAACACGUGGAUAACCUACCUAUAAGACUGGGAUAACUUCGGGAAACCGGAGCUAAUACCGGAUAAUAUAUUGAACCGCAUGGUUCAAUAGUGAAAGACGGUUUUGCUGUCACUUAUAGAUGGAUCCGCGCCGCAUUAGCUAGUUGGUAAGGUAACGGCUUACCAAGGCAACGAUGCGUAGCCGACCUGAGAGGGUGAUAGGCCACACUGGAACUGAGACACGGUCAAGACUCCUACGGGAGGCAGCAGUAGGGAAUCGUCCGCAAUGGGCGAAAGCCUGACGGAGCAACGCCGCGUGAGUGAUGAAGGUCUUCGGAUCGUAAAACUCUGUUAUUAGGGAAGAACAAAUGUGUAAGUAACUAUGCACGUCUUGACGGUACCUAAUCAGAAAGCCACGGCUAACUACGUG
This 497-nucleotide ribosomal RNA is filed under the name uncultured bacterium. RNAcentral's name for it is "partial 16S ribosomal RNA". It matches the Rfam family "Bacterial small subunit ribosomal RNA", at positions 28 to 507 of the family's 1533-position model. The record is from RNAcentral.